AGAGUUUGAUCCUGGCUCAGGACGAACGCUGGCGGCGUGCUUAACACAUGCAAGUCGAGCGGUAAGGCCCUUCGGGGUACACGAGCGGCGAACGGGUGAGUAACACGUGGGUAACCUGCCCUGUACUUUGGGAUAAGCCCGGGAAACUGGGUCUAAUACCGGAUAUGACUGCGCACUGCAUGGUGUGUGGUGGAAAGUUCUGGCGGUACAGGAUGGGCCCGCGGCCUAUCAGCUUGUUGGUGGGGUGAUGGCCUACCAAGGCGACGACGGGUAGCCGGCCUGAGAGGGCGACCGGCCACACUGGGACUGAGACACGGCCCAGACUCCUACGGGAGGCAGCAGUGGGGAAUCUUGCACAAUGGGCGAAAGCCUGAUGCAGCGACGCCGCGUGAGGGAUGACGGCCUUCGGGUUGUAAACCUCUUUCGCCCGGGACGAAGCGAGAGUGACGGUACCGGGAGAAGAAGCACCGGCUAACUACGUGCCAGCAGCCGCGGUAAUACGUAGGGUGCGAGCGUUGUCCGGAAUUAUUGGGCGUAAAGAGCUCGUAGGCGGUUUGUUGCGUCGGCCGUGAAAACCUGGGGCUUAACUCCGGGCUUGCGGUCGAUACGGGCAGACUUGAGUUCGGCAGGGGAGACUGGAAUUCCUGGUGUAGCGGUGAAAUGCGCAGAUAUCAGGAGGAACACCGGUGGCGAAGGCGGGUCUCUGGGCCGAUACUGACGCUGAGGAGCGAAAGCGUGGGGAGCGAACAGGAUUAGAUACCCCAGUAGUCC
This 771-nucleotide ribosomal RNA is filed under the name uncultured bacterium. RNAcentral describes it as "bacterial SSU rRNA". It matches the Rfam family "Bacterial small subunit ribosomal RNA", at positions 8 to 796 of the family's 1533-position model. The record is from RNAcentral.